Molecule: long non-coding RNA, 803 nt
Organism: Hemiscyllium ocellatum (epaulette shark)
Lineage: Eukaryota; Metazoa; Chordata; Chondrichthyes; Orectolobiformes; Hemiscylliidae
Exons: 3
Source: RefSeq, a predicted model, not a curated record
GGGCCCGGUAGUGUGUCUGAGAUUGGCUACGGGGCCUACUCUGAUGCACUGACCUUUCGGCUUGACGUCUCUCUCUCUCUCUCUCUCUCUCUCCCCUCGAUCCCAGGAAUCCACAAAGCAGCCGAACUAAUGUCCUGCGCAAUCCGCCACCUGACCUCCCGAACCCCGGUACUCAAAGGACUGACCAAUAAAGGCAGGCCAACCAAACCCCAGUGUUGACAUCCAGAGAGGAGGAGGUCAGGGUGCCUGACACGUCUAUUCUCCUGCUGCUUGGACGCUGCCUGACCUGCUGCGCUUUUCCAGCAACACACCCUCCCUCUCUCUCUCGCCUGAUCUGCAGCCCCCCUGAAUCUCACGUUGGAGCCAGAGGGCGUUGAGUUGGGCCAUUCUCGCCUCCCGGGAACGCCCAGUUUAAGAGUGUCCUUCCUGGAGCCGGGACGCCUCUGACAGACGGGCCUCGCUUUCCCCGGUCGGAUCUUCGGAUCGUGAUUUUUCCCCCCUGGGAUUCCCAUCCAGUCGCCCUCCCACCACUGCCCUCACCGGAAUGACUCGUCCUCAUCUGCGGCCAACUCAUGAUGAUACGCUUCCCGAAAUGGGGGCCAUUUUGAGCUGGAUCGAAUCGAAAUUUCUUGACCCGAGGCCAGGAUGCUCUUGAGGGAUGGCGAGACCGAGCAGAGGAGGAAUGGGCACCGCGCAACAAUCCAACAGACAGGAGGGGUCCCCCCCAGUUGGGGAACGUUUCAGCGGGCCAGCACAUUCGACCCCUGACCUUCGGGUGACCAUCCUCCAAGUGGCCGAGCAGA